CCAUUUUGGUCGCGUUCUAGAAGUGCCAGCUCAUCGUAGGCAGCGGAAUCUUUUCAGCCACGGAAUCUUCUCCGGCCCAAAUAAUCAGAGGCGCACGGCGCGCAUCACCAUUGAUAGCCAAGUGGACAUCGAAGCACGCCUCCUAAGAUUUGGAAAACAUUUUCCCUCGUCCUCUGGACCUAUCAUCACAAGAUAUGGAUACAGUGUUCUGCUGCCCGAGAUGUCGCGAGCAGUUCGGUUCCGCAUUCUACAUCGGACGCCCGGAUACUGUAUGGAAUCCAGAAUUCUGCUGCAUGGAUUGUGGCAGGCCACUCAAUGAUCCCGCACCCCACACAGGACGCCUGGAGAGUCCCAACCACCCCAAGAACGCCACCAAGCCGA
RNAcentral lists this long non-coding RNA (381 nucleotides) under Dermacentor andersoni. RNAcentral's name for it is "uncharacterized LOC126545606". The record is from RNAcentral. Lineage: Eukaryota; Metazoa; Arthropoda; Arachnida; Ixodida; Ixodidae.